This is a long non-coding RNA of Antechinus flavipes (yellow-footed antechinus), 1140 nucleotides long. RefSeq lists it as uncharacterized. The transcript has 5 exons. The record is from RefSeq and is a predicted model, not a curated record. NCBI's taxonomy places the organism in Eukaryota, Metazoa, Chordata, Mammalia, Dasyuromorphia, Dasyuridae.
CCUUUGCCAAACAGGGCCACACAAAGCCUUCAGUUCAACCCUUUUGUCCCUUCCCACAAAGAGAAGUUCCAGUGAGUGGAUCUUACUUUUUUGUUUUGUUUUGUUUUAUUUGUUGGGAGUUUGGGAGUGUCUUUUGAAAGAGCUCCAUCCAAAGAACAAGUCACUAAUUAGUCACGACAGCUGACAGCUCGGUCUUUGGGGGUUGCUAGAUUUUAAGAAAACAGAAGUUGUAGAAAAUGUCUGUAGGCUCGCCUGGCAAAAGCCUCAAGCUGGUCUUCGCUGAAGCUAGUCUAGUCCAAGGACAGUGAGAAAUUGGAAACAAAACCAUCGACAUUUAUAACUUUUGACAAGUCAUUAUUUGUUCCUCUCUAUAAGGUCCAUUGAGGAAUCACUUCUUCUGGCUUAAUGGCCAAUCCUGCCUAAUAUAACUUUGAUACUAUCUCCCCAUCUCCAUUUUCAACCUUUUAUGAGAGAAACAAAUGGAACAUCCACAUGCUGAUUGUUCACGUGGCUGAUAUCAGAUUGCUUGCUGUCUUGGGAAGUGGGCUCUAGAGAAGGAAGAGAGGAAGGAAUUUGGAGCCCAAGAUCUUGCAAAUGCACUGAAUUUGAGAUUUGGAAGGUUCUUUGUUAUCCAUCUGGUCCAGAAGGAAUCACCAAUAAUAAUAUAUUUGAUAAAUUUGACCUCUGCUUGAAGAUUUCUAAAGUAGGAAAAAAAAAACCCCAGCUCUCUAGGUUACCCAUUACAUUCUUGGAUGGCUCUAAGUAAAACUCAAAGUAGUCAUUGUUGGGGACUUUAAUUUGACUCUUUCAGACUUAGCAAAAUCUAAUCAAAGGAUAAGCAAGAAAGUUAAGGACUUAAAUGGAAUUUUAGAAAAGUUGGCUAUGAGAGACCUUUGGUGAUUUCUAAAUGAAAAUUGUUAAUUUGAACUUAGAGAUCCUUUCAAGAAAAGAUGCCAACUCUUUUCCAUCUCUAUAACUGCAUAUUAUUUUAUCUAGCAUGGUACAAUAUAUAGACUAUUGGUCUUAGAAUCAGGAAGAUUUGAUUUCUCAAUUCAAAUACAAGUCACCUCAGCUUUCUUAAUCUCAGUAUUUCUUGUUAAUUAAAGUAUAAAAAUACAAGUAUAGAAUAUAGCAUAUAUU